UACGUAGGUGGCAAGCGUUACUCGGAAUCACUAGGCGUAAAGCGCAGGUAGGCGGUUUGGUAAGUCUGUUGUGAAAGCUCCCGGCUCAACUGGGAGAGGUCAACGGAAACUACUAGGCUAGAGUGUGGUAGAGGAAGCUGGAAUUCCCGGUGUAGCGGUGAAAUGCGUAGAUAUCGGGGGGAACACCUAUGGCGAAAGCAGGCUUCUGGACCAUCACUGACGCUGAGCUGCGAAAGCUAGGGGAGCAAACAGG
This 253-nucleotide ribosomal RNA is filed under the name uncultured bacterium. Its description in RNAcentral is "partial 16S ribosomal RNA". It matches the Rfam family "Bacterial small subunit ribosomal RNA", at positions 524 to 776 of the family's 1533-position model. The record is from RNAcentral.